This 368-nucleotide long non-coding RNA is filed under the name Gallus gallus (chicken). Lineage: Eukaryota; Metazoa; Chordata; Aves; Galliformes; Phasianidae. The record is from RNAcentral.
UGGGAAUAAUGCCAGCACUGCUUUCUGGCACGGCUGGGGGAAGUUCAUACUCGACUUCCAGCACUACCCUUUCACCCACGUUCUUCAGCAGGCUUAUGAUCUCGUCGUGCCGCAGCUUGGUCAGGUUGAUGCCGUUCACUGACUUGAUGUAAUCCCCAACGUUCAGCUGGUCACUUCUUGCUGCCAGUCCUCCUGGCCUCAGGUUGGACACCCUCGGCUUCCCAUCUUUGUCCGUGCCACCCGAGAUAGUCAACCCAAGGGUACUGCCUUCCUUCUUGAUCAGCUCCACAAUGGUGACCCCUCUGAACUCCUCUGGGAUGCUUUGCCUCCUGGAGACCAGGGCUGAGUCCAUCCCGCCGGAGUCCUUG